This 501-nucleotide ribosomal RNA is filed under the name uncultured bacterium. RNAcentral's name for it is "partial 16S ribosomal RNA". It matches the Rfam family "Bacterial small subunit ribosomal RNA", at positions 30 to 523 of the family's 1533-position model. The record is from RNAcentral.
AUUGAACGCUGGCGGCAGGCUUAACACAUGCAAGUCGAGCGGAGAUGAGGUGCUUGCACCUUAUCUUAGCGGCGGACGGGUGAGUAAUGCUUAGGAAUCUGCCUAUUAGUGGGGGACAACAUUCCGAAAGGAAUGCUAAUACCGCAUACGUCCUACGGGAGAAAGCAGGGGAUCUUCGGACCUUGCGCUAAUAGAUGAGCCUAAGUCGGAUUAGCUAGUUGGUGGGGUAAAGGCCUACCAAGGCGACGAUCUGUAGCGGGUCUGAGAGGAUGAUCCGCCACACUGGGAGUGAGACACGGCCCAGACUCCUACGGGAGGCAGCAGUGGGGAAUAUUGGACAAUGGGGGGAACCCUGAUCCAGCCAUGCCGCGUGUGUGAAGAAGGCCUUAUGGUUGUAAAGCCCUUUAAGCGAGGAGGAGGCUACUGAGACUAAUACUCUUGGAUAGUGGACGUUACUCGCAGAAUAAGCACCGGCUAACUCUGUGCCAGCCGCCGCGGUAA